GGAUGCGAUCAUACCAGCACUAAAGCACCGGAUCCCAUCAGAACUCCGAAGUUAAGCGUGCUUGGGUGAGAGUAGUACUAGGAUGGGUGACCUCCUGGAAGUCCUCGUGUUGCAUUCC
RNAcentral lists this ribosomal RNA (118 nucleotides) under Triticum turgidum subsp. durum (durum wheat). Lineage: Eukaryota; Viridiplantae; Streptophyta; Magnoliopsida; Poales; Poaceae. The record is from RNAcentral. RNAcentral also lists the same sequence under 1 other name.